UGCAAGUCGAGCGGGCCCUUCGGGGUCAGCGGCAGACGGGUGAGUAACGCGUGGGAACGUGCCCUUCGGUUCGGAAUAACUCAGGGAAACUUGAGCUAAUACCGGAUACGCCCAUGGCCUCUGGCCCUGGGGAAAGGUUUAUCUGCCGAAGGAUCGGCCCGCGUCUGAUUAGCUAGUUGGUGAGGUUAUGGCUCACCAAGGCGACGAUCAGUAGCUGGUCUGAGAGGAUGAUCAGCCACACUGGGACUGAGACACGGCCCAGACUCCUACGGGAGGCAGCAGUGGGGAAUAUUGGACAAUGGGGGCAACCCUGAUCCAGCCAUGCCGCGUGAGUGAUGACGGCCUUAGGGUUGUAAAGCUCUUUUCUCCGGGACGAUAAUGACGGUACCGGAGGAAUAAGCCCCGGCUAACUUCGUGCCAGCAGCCGCGGUAAUACGAAGGGGGCUAGCGUUGCUCGGAAUCACUGGGCGUAAAGGGCGCGUAGGCGGCUGAUUUAGUCGAGGGUGAAAGCCCGUGGCUCAACCACGGAAUGGCCUUCGAUACUGAUUGGCUUGAGACCGGAAGAGGACAGCGGAACUGCGAGUGUAGAGGUGAAAUUCGUAGAUAUUCGCAAGAACACCAGUGGCGAAGG
This 631-nucleotide ribosomal RNA is filed under the name uncultured bacterium. Its description in RNAcentral is "bacterial SSU rRNA". It matches the Rfam family "Bacterial small subunit ribosomal RNA", at positions 56 to 721 of the family's 1533-position model. The record is from RNAcentral.